GACGAACGCUGGCGGCGUGCUUAACACAUGCAAGUCGAGCGGUAAGGCCCUUUGGGGUACACGAGCGGCGAACGGGUGAGUAACACGUGAGUAAUCUGCCUUUGGCUUGGGAAUAACUUCGGGAAAUCGGGGCUAAUGCCUGAUGUUUACUGUCUGCUGCAUGGUGGGUGGUGGAAAGAUUUUUUGGCCAGGGAUGAGCUCGCGGUCUAUCAGCUUGUUGGUGGGGUAAUGGCUACCAAGGCUUUGACGGGUAGCCGGCCUGAGAGGGUGUUCGGCCACACUGGGACUGAGACACGGCCCAGACUCCUACGGGAGGCAGCAGUGGGGAAUAUUGCGCAAUGGGCGUAAGCCUGACGCAGCGACGCCGCGU
Molecule: ribosomal RNA, 370 nt
Filed under: uncultured bacterium
Lineage: Bacteria
Description: bacterial SSU rRNA
Rfam family: Bacterial small subunit ribosomal RNA
Source: RNAcentral